This 84-nucleotide transfer RNA is filed under the name Candidatus Dojkabacteria bacterium. Its description in RNAcentral is "tRNA-Leu". It matches the Rfam family "tRNA". From Rfam's summary of the family: Transfer RNA (tRNA) molecules are approximately 80 nucleotides in length. Their secondary structure includes four short double-helical elements and three loops (D, anti-codon, and T loops). The record is from RNAcentral.
GCCGGGGUGGUGGAAUGGUAGACACGAAGGACUUAAAAUCCUUUGGCCUUAACAGCCGUGCGGGUUCGAUCCCCGCCUCCGGCA